Molecule: ribosomal RNA, 433 nt
Filed under: uncultured bacterium
Lineage: Bacteria
Description: partial 16S ribosomal RNA
Rfam family: Bacterial small subunit ribosomal RNA
Source: RNAcentral
AACGAACGCUGGCGGCAUGCCUAACACAUGCAAGUCGAACGAGACCUUCGGGUCUAGUGGCGCACGGGUGCGUAACGCGUGGGAACCUGCCCUUAGGUUCGGAAUAACUCCCCGAAAGGGGUGCUAAUACCGGAUAAUGUCUUCGGACCAAAGAUUUAUCGCCUUUGGAUGGGCCCGCGUUGGAUUAGCUAGUUGGUAGGGUAAAAGCCUACCAAGGCGACGAUCCAUAGCUGGUCUGAGAGGAUGAUCAGCCACACUGGGACUGAGACACGGCCCAGACUCCUACGGGAGGCAGCAGUGGGGAAUAUUGGACAAUGGGCGAAAGCCUGAUCCAGCAAUGCCGCGUGAGUGAUGAAGGCCUUAGGGUUGUAAAGCUCUUUUACCCGGGAUGAUAAUGACAGUACCGGGAGAAUAAGCGCCGGGUAACUCCGUG